AUCUCUGCCCAAAGCACCCUGAACACACUCAGUUUUACCUGAUCCAGGAGGCUCUGUACAUCUGGGCCUAGUUAGUACUUGAACAGGUGACCCCCUAGGAAAUACCAGGUAGCAUAGGAU
Molecule: ribosomal RNA, 120 nt
Filed under: Meriones unguiculatus (Mongolian gerbil)
Lineage: Eukaryota; Metazoa; Chordata; Mammalia; Rodentia; Muridae
Source: RNAcentral